Molecule: ribosomal RNA, 253 nt
Filed under: uncultured bacterium
Lineage: Bacteria
Description: partial 16S ribosomal RNA
Rfam family: Bacterial small subunit ribosomal RNA
Source: RNAcentral
UACGUAGGGUGCAAGCGUUAAUCGGAAUUACUGGGCGUAAAGCGCGCGCAGGCGGUUGGGCAAGUCCGAUGUGAAAGCCCCGGGCUUAACCUGGGAAUGGCAUUGGUGACUGCACGGCUAGAGUGUGUCAGAGGGGGGUAGAAUUCCACGUGUAGCAGUGAAAUGCGUAGAGAUGUGGAGGAAUACCGAUGGCGAAGGCAGCCCCCUGGGAUAACACUGACGCUCAUGCACGAAAGCGUGGGGAGCAAACAGG